GGAUGUGAGGGUGAUCUGGCUUUGACAUCUAUCACCCUAUUGAUCACCAGGGCUGAGUUGGCUGAUCUGGCUGGCUAGGCGGGUGUCCCUGUCCUCCCUCAGUGCUCCACGUAUGUCCCUCCCAAAGAUGUGUGCUCAGUUGAAGAGGACAACCAUCUCCUAUAGACGAGGACCAGCCUUUGGUCAAGGGUAUAUGAGUAGCUGCACUGCUCUGCUAGAACCUGCAGACAAACCCUCAAGAACUAGGGAGAGGAGAGUGAAAACCUAGUUAUAAUGAUUGUAUCUUUACAUUCUUUUAUAGAUUUCAAAUUACUUCU
Aotus nancymaae (Ma's night monkey) is the source of this 317-nucleotide unclassified non-coding RNA. Its record names the gene 7SK. It matches the Rfam family "7SK RNA". From Rfam's summary of the family: 7SK was discovered as an abundant small nuclear RNA in the mid-70s but a possible function has only recently been suggested. NCBI's taxonomy places the organism in Eukaryota, Metazoa, Chordata, Mammalia, Primates, Aotidae. The record is from Ensembl.